This is a long non-coding RNA of Etheostoma spectabile (orangethroat darter), 824 nucleotides long. RefSeq lists it as uncharacterized. The record is from RefSeq and is a predicted model, not a curated record. Lineage: Eukaryota; Metazoa; Chordata; Actinopteri; Perciformes; Percidae. The transcript is spliced from 2 exons.
AUCUGGCCCCAGUCCCAGGUCGGCCAACACAUGUUGGAGCCUACUUUCUAUUGGGCCCAGUGGAUCCGUUCUAAUGGGACCACAUCACUGCUGGACAUUAUCACAGAGGUCCCACGCUUAGUGGACUCUCCAGGCAUGAUUGCAACCAACAUGGCCGAGUACCUGAUGAGAUCCACCACAGAGCCCCAUACGUUCUAAUACUGUCUUUGUGAAUGGGGGGGGGGGCGUUGGAGCAGCCGUCUCUUUGGCUGCUGUGGACGUCGGUCUCACUCCCGUUUUUUGUGUUCUAUGUUGGUUUGCCAAAACUUUGUGCUAAUGUUUGGGAGUUAAUCCAGACCACCGUGUUUCAGAGACCAGGACCUGAAUCAAACGCUGUCAAAUUAAUGCUCAGAUUGCUACUAUGUAGUUUUUUAAUUUCUAUGUAGGCUAUGGCACAUGGUCGAGUUAAAGGGCCCAGAUUCUGCACUGAAGAUAUUCAGGAACCAGAUCUCACUCAGACACCAUGGAUGGUUUUAUCGUGUGUGUGCGUAAGCACCAGAGACACAAAAUAACCCCCAAAUCCCAGAAAAAGAGAUUGUUUUUUGGGCACUUUAAGAUUUAAAAGUUGGUUUGAAAGUUAAAUGCAUGAAGUUUAAGAAGUUGUGACUUUUUGUCCGUUUAGUGAUGUAAUAAUUGACACAGCAUAUGUUUUAAAUCAAAAAUGUAAAAUUACUUUUGUAUUCUUUUAUACUACUUUUAAUGUUAACUGAAAUUAAUUGUAAUGUUUAAUUUUGUCUGAAGUGAUAUAUUUGGCUUAAAGCAAUAAAACAAAAUGCUGGGAUUUU